This is a long non-coding RNA of Erigeron canadensis, 1236 nucleotides long. RefSeq lists it as uncharacterized. Lineage: Eukaryota; Viridiplantae; Streptophyta; Magnoliopsida; Asterales; Asteraceae. The transcript has 2 exons. The record is from RefSeq and is a predicted model, not a curated record.
GGUAUUUUACCCACUUAAAUUGAUAAAAGGCGUGGCAUGAGGGUAAAGUGCCCGCCAUAUGUUUUGAUGAUUCACUCUUCCAUCCACAACUACCUCUCCUAUCUCUUUUAUUCUCAAUUUCUUGUCAAAUCUUCUUUUAGAUAUGUGUUUUUCAUUUCAAUCUUAAUCAAAUAAAUUCUUCAAGAAAAAACAACAACAACAACAACAACAACAAUAAUAAUAAUAAUAAUAAUAAUAAUAACUACUUCAAGAUAUCUAGCAAUGGAAUUUGGGGUUUAAGUGGGAGUACACAUAAGGAAGAAACAAGUAAAGCUAGUGAAUUACCAAUUUUCCAUCUUGUUAAAAUUCAUCUAAGGUUGAAAGCAUACUCAAUCGUAUUAUGGUCAUCUUGGUAUUUGACUUUUGCGGAUGAGGUGAGUACUUUUAUAUAUGAUUAUUCACAUGUUGGGUCAAUUACACAUGAUGAUGGUGGAAUCUAUAUGUAGUACUUAGAUGACGUGAUAAAGACCAUACGGGGUAUGGCAAUGUAAUUUGGAUGUGAAGGAGAUAUUUGGUUAAUUGUUUGAAUGUGUAGAAAUAUAUAUAUUUGCGUAAUUGUGUAGAAUUCAUGAUUGAGACCCAUGGUAAAGUGAUGAAUGUACGAUAAGAUGAUAUAAGACCAUAUGGGAUAUGGCAAUGUGUUUGAAUGUUGGAUAGUAUGUUUUAUAUGAUGAUUGAUUACAUGGUUUCACAUUGUUGUGUUGAUAUGAAGGUGUUUAUGGAUGAAAUAAUUGUGUGGUAAUAUAGGUUCUAUUUCUCAUCCUUUUGUAUUUGAUUUCAAUUUGUGCAUAUUUGUGUAUAAACGUACUCACUAAGCGUUAAGCUUGUCCUUUUAGUUGUUUACCUUUUUAUAGGUGGUUCCGAUAGUAAGAACAACUUGUAAUUUGCUAGAAGGUGAGUUGGAGCUUUUGGUGCAUAGAAGGUUUUGGACCAUUUCAUGGAGAAAUGGUAAUUGGUAGAAACCUAGUUACUCCUCUCUUCAACUCUUGGUUGUCGAUACUUGUGUCAUGUUGAUGGUAAUGUUGUAUAUGAUGAAUUUCAAGUCUAUAAGUCAACAAUUUCCUGGUCAUUUGAAGUACAAAUCAAUUUGGUGUUACAUCGCCCAUUUUGCCACUUAGGGUAAAUGACCCGUUUGGUUGUAAAUUGUAGCUUUUGAACAAUUCAAGAAAGAAAAUGUCCUUUAUGGUUGUAAGUCAA